GGUUUGAUUCUGGCUCAGGUCUUGAACGCUGGCGGAUGCUUUACAUACAGAAUCAGGCAGCGGCACGGACAUGAGUCUGGUGGCGAGUGGCGAACAGGUGAGUAUGUAUCGGAACGUGCCUAGUAGCGGGGGAUAACUACGCGAAGGCGUAGCUAAUACCACAUAAAUAUCGGGAAAGCAGGACCUUGGGCUCGCACUAUUCAAACGGCCGAUAUCGGAUUGCUGGUUGGUGGUGGGUAACGGCUCCGCAGGCGAGCAGUGUCCGUAGCUGGUUUGAGAGGACGACCAUGCACUGGGACUGGAGACGGCCAGACUCACGGGAGGCAGCAGUGAAAUUUUGGACAAUGGGGAAACCCUGAUCAAUAUCCGCGUGUGCGAUGAAGGCGCGCUCCGGGUUGUAAAGCACUUUUAGCGGGAAAGAAACUGGCACGGGAUAAUACCCCGUGCAACUGACAGACGCCUGCAGAAUAAGCACCGGUAACUACGUGGCAGCCGCGGUAAUACGUAGGGUGCAAGCGUUAAUCGGAAUUACUGGGCAUCUCGUGGCGGCGUGCGCGAACCGUUCGGAAAGAAAGAUGCGCGAAAUCCAGAGAGCUUUGGCGCUUUACUGGACGCAUUUUUAACUACCGAGCUAAAGUGUGCCCAGAGGUGGAAUUCGCGUGCUGGCAAUGAAAUGCGUAGAUAUGCCGGAGGAGCCACCGAUGGCGAAGGCGACACUCCUGGGAUAACACUGACGCUCAUGCGAAAGCGUGGGAGCAAACAGGAUUAGAUACCCUGGUAGUCCACGCCCUAAACGAUAUCAACUGUGAGGCCUUCGGGCCUUGGUAGCGCAGCUAACGCGUGAAGUUGACCGCCUGGGGAGUACGGUCGCAGAUUAAAACUCAAAGGAAUUGACGGGGACCCGCACAAGCGGUGGAUGAUGUGGAUUAAUUCGAUGCAACGCGAAAAACCUUACCCACCGCCGGCAUGUCUGAUCCCGAAGAGAGAUUUGGGAGUGCUCGCAAAAGAACCGGAACACAGGUGCUGCAUGGCUGUCGUCGAAUAGUGUCGUGAGAUGUUGGGUUAAGUCCCGCAACGAGCGCAGCCUUGUCAUUGGUUGCUGCGAAGGCACUCUAAUGAGACUGCCAGUGACAAACCGGAGGAAGGUGGGGAUGAUGACGUCAGUCUCAUGGCCCUUAUGGGUAGGGCUUCACGUCGCCACAAUGGUCGGGACAGAGGGUCCUUAAUACCAACCCCGCGAGAGGUAAUCCAAGAAACCCGAUCAUAGUCAGGAUGCGCAGUCUGCAACUCGACUGCGUGAAGUCAGAAUCGCUAGUAAUCGCGGAUCAGCAUGUCGCGGUGAAUACGUUCCCAGGUCUUGUACACACCGCCGUCUGCACACACCAUGGGAGUGGGUUUUACCAGAAGUAGUUAAGCCUAACCGUAAGGAGGCGAUUACCACGGUAGGAUUCAUGACUAGGGUGAAGUCCCGUAACAAGGUAGCCCUGUUACUGGUGCUCCAGAACAACUUCGUGGCA
Molecule: ribosomal RNA, 1517 nt
Filed under: uncultured Bordetella sp.
Lineage: Bacteria; Pseudomonadati; Pseudomonadota; Betaproteobacteria; Burkholderiales; Alcaligenaceae
Description: partial 16S-23S ribosomal RNA intergenic spacer
Rfam family: Bacterial small subunit ribosomal RNA
Source: RNAcentral